UUAGCUGGGGUAGCUGGUUUAAUUAAACUAAAUCGGUUAAGAGACUCUUUGAGAGGUUGAAGGUCCUUUAUAUAAGGAUACAUAGAUACAGUUACUUUAGGGAUAACAGCGUGAUAGUUUUGGUGAGAUCUUAUCUAUAAGGCUGAUUGCGACCUCGAUGUUGAAUUAUAAGUUCUUGCAGUGCAGCAGCUGUGAAAGAAGGUUUGUUCAACCUUUAAAUUUUUACAUGAUCAGAGUUCAGACCGGA
Molecule: ribosomal RNA, 247 nt
Filed under: Cyclocaris sp. HR-2016
Lineage: Eukaryota; Metazoa; Arthropoda; Malacostraca; Amphipoda; Lysianassidae
Description: partial 16S ribosomal RNA
Rfam family: Bacterial large subunit ribosomal RNA
Source: RNAcentral